GAGUUUGAUCCUGGCUCAGAUUGAACGCUGGCGGCAUGCCUUACACAUGCAAGUCGAACGGCAGCACGGGAGCUUGCUCCUGGUGGCGAGUGGCGAACGGGUGAGUAAUGCAUCGGAACGUAUCCUGGAGUGGGGGAUAACGUAGCGAAAGUUACGCUAAUACCGCAUAUUCUGUGAGCAGGAAAGCGGGGGACCUUCGGGCCUCGCGCUCUUGGAGCGGCCGAUGUCGGAUUAGCUAGUUGGUGAGGUAAAGGCUCACCAAGGCGACGAUCCGUAGCAGGUCUGAGAGGAUGAUCUGCCACACUGGAACUGAGACACGGUCCAGACUCCUACGGGAGGCAGCAGUGGGGAAUAUUGGACAAUGGGCGAAAGCCUGAUCCAGCCAUGCCGCGUGUGUGAAGAAGGUCUUCGGAUUGUAAAGCACUUUAAGUUGGGAGGAAGGGCAGUAAGUUAAUACCUUGCUGUUUUGACGUUACCGACAGAAUAAGCACCGGCUAACUCUGUGCCG
RNAcentral lists this ribosomal RNA (508 nucleotides) under bacterium enrichment culture clone ALO1_GLFRUDD03FO1EY. RNAcentral describes it as "bacterial SSU rRNA". It matches the Rfam family "Bacterial small subunit ribosomal RNA", at positions 9 to 510 of the family's 1533-position model. The record is from RNAcentral.